Molecule: ribosomal RNA, 253 nt
Filed under: uncultured prokaryote
Description: partial 16S ribosomal RNA
Rfam family: Bacterial small subunit ribosomal RNA
Source: RNAcentral
UACAGAGGUGCCAAGCGUUGUUCGGAUUUAUUGGGCGUAAAGGGUGCGUAGGCGGUCAUGCAAGUCGGAUGUGAAAUCCCGGAGCCUAACUCCGGAACGGCAUUCGAAACUGCAGGGCUCGAGAUCUGGAGAGGUGAUUGGAAUUCUCGGUGUAGCAGUGAAAUGCGUAGAUAUCGAGAGGAACACCAGAGGCGAAAGCGAAUCACUGGACAGAAUCUGACGCUGAGGCACGAAAGCUAGGGGAGCAAACGGG